AUUGAACGCUGGCGGAAUGCUUUACACAUGCAAGUCGAACGGCAGCACGGACUUCGGUCUGGUGGCGAGUGGCGAACGGGUGAGUAAUGUAUCGGAACGUGCCCAGUCGUGGGGGAUAACGUAGUGAAAAUUACGCUAAUACCGCAUACGAUCUAUGGAUGAAAGCGGGGGAUCGCAAGACCUCGCGCGAUUGGAGCGGCCGAUAUCAGAUUAGGUAGUUGGUGGGGUAAAGGCCCACCAAGCCAACGAUCUGUAGCUGGUCUGAGAGGACGACCAGCCACACUGGGACUGAGACACGGCCCAGACUCCUACGGGAGGCAGCAGUGGGGAAUUUUGGACAAUGGGCGAAUGCCUGAUCCAGCCAUGCCGCGUGCAGGAUGAAGGCCUUCGGGUUGUAAGCUGCUUUUGUACGGAACGAAAAGGUUUGGCCUAAUAAGCUGAGCUCAUGACGGUACCGUAAGAAUAAGCACCGGCUAACUACGUGCCAGCAGCCGCGGUAA
This 500-nucleotide ribosomal RNA is filed under the name uncultured bacterium. Its description in RNAcentral is "partial 16S ribosomal RNA". It matches the Rfam family "Bacterial small subunit ribosomal RNA", at positions 30 to 523 of the family's 1533-position model. The record is from RNAcentral.